RNAcentral lists this transfer RNA (88 nucleotides) under Chloroflexota bacterium. RNAcentral's name for it is "Chloroflexi bacterium tRNA-Ser". It matches the Rfam family "tRNA". From Rfam's summary of the family: Transfer RNA (tRNA) molecules are approximately 80 nucleotides in length. Their secondary structure includes four short double-helical elements and three loops (D, anti-codon, and T loops). Lineage: Bacteria; Bacillati; Chloroflexota. The record is from RNAcentral.
GGAGGGGUGCCCGAGUGGUUUAAGGGAGCGGUCUUGAACACCGUCGCAGCGCAAGCUGUCGUGGGUUCGAAUCCCACCCCCUCCGCCA